AAGAGAUGAAAUGAACAAAUUCUGCAGACUUUGCAAAGAGGAGGGGAUUAUGCCAGAUAGAUUGUUGCCUGACAAGGUCAAUACAGCAAGAUUCGAAAGGUUCCCUAAGUCUGACGGGAUCUGGCCCGAAAGAAGGUUGUCUUCCAUUCGUAACCUCUGCAAGUUUACAAGAUUACCAAUCUCUUUCGGGAUCUCACCCGAUAUCAGAUUUUGGACUACUUCCAGGUAUGUAAAAGUAGCGGAGAAAUUACCGAGGCAUACAGGAAGCGUCCCCCCAAAUCUAUUUGCACCGAUCAACAGCACUUCCAAGUAAGUGGCAUUUGUUAGUGAGCACAGGAAGCUCAAUUCAUCUGCAUCGGACCCUCCACUGCCGAGAUAAUUAACGUAUAAGAUGACCCACUGAAGGCUAUGGAGAUUCGCCAAGGAAGGGACUUUCCCAGAAAGCUCAUUGACUGCAAGAUCAAGACCUCUUAGAUUUGUGGCAUUGGAUAUCGACAAGGGAAUGGAUCCAGUGAACUGGUUAUCAUGAAUGCUCAAAACUCGAAGGUUUGGGAGAGUGAAUCCUAUAUCUUCAGGAAGAUUGCCGUGGAUCUGGUUUGUCAUUACGUGGAGAAUAGCCAGCGAAGACAAGUUGAAGACCGAAGGCGGAAUGGUACCCGAAAGCCUGUUGUCUCCCAGGCUGAGUCUUUCUAGUUUGGUCAG
Rhodamnia argentea is the source of this 702-nucleotide long non-coding RNA. RefSeq lists it as uncharacterized. The transcript is spliced from 3 exons. Lineage: Eukaryota; Viridiplantae; Streptophyta; Magnoliopsida; Myrtales; Myrtaceae. The record is from RefSeq and is a predicted model, not a curated record.